Molecule: ribosomal RNA, 497 nt
Filed under: uncultured bacterium
Lineage: Bacteria
Description: partial 16S ribosomal RNA
Rfam family: Bacterial small subunit ribosomal RNA
Source: RNAcentral
GAUGAACGCUGGCGGCGUGCCUAAUACAUGCAAGUCGAGCGAACAGAUGAGGAGCUUGCUCCUCUGACGUUAGCGGCGGACGGGUGAGUAACACGUGGAUAACCUACCUAUAAGACUGGGAUAACUUCGGGAAACCGGAGCUAAUACCGGAUAAUAUAUUGAACUGCAUGGUUCAAUAGUGAAAGACGGUUUUGCUGUCACUUAUAGAUGGAUCCGCGUCGCAUUAGCUAGUUGGUAAGGUAACGGCUUACCAAGGCAACGAUGCGUAGCCGACCUGAGAGGGUGAUCGGCCACACGGGAACUGAGGCACGGCCCAGACUCCUACGGGAGGCAGCAGUAGGGAAUCUUCCGCAAUGGGCGAGAGCCUGACAGAGCAACGCCGCGUGAGUGAUGAAGGUCUUCGGAUCGUAAAGCUCUGUUAUUAGUGAAGAACAAAUGUGUAAGUAACUAUGCACGUCUUGACGGUACCUAAACAAUAAGCCCCGGCUAACUACGUG